RNAcentral lists this transfer RNA (74 nucleotides) under Albula glossodonta (roundjaw bonefish). It matches the Rfam family "tRNA". Rfam says of the family: Transfer RNA (tRNA) molecules are approximately 80 nucleotides in length. Lineage: Eukaryota; Metazoa; Chordata; Actinopteri; Albuliformes; Albulidae. The record is from Rfam by way of RNAcentral.
GAUGCUGUGACUUAGUUGGUUAAAGCGCCUCUCUAGUAAACAGGAGAUACUGAGUUCGAAUCCCAACAGUGCCU